AACGAACGCUGGCGGCAGGCUUAACACAUGCAAGUCGAACGGAUGUAGCAAUACAUCAGUGGCAGACGGGUGAGUAACACGUGGGAACCUUCCUCGUUGUACGGGACAACUCAGGGAAACUUGAGCUAAUACCGUAUACGUCCGAGAGGAGAAAGAUUUAUCGCAAUGAGACGGGCCCGCGUCGGAUUAGCUAGUUGGUGGGGUAACGGCCUACCAAGGCGACGAUCCGUAGCUGANCUGAGAGGAUGAUCAGCCACACUGGGACUGAGACACGGCCCAGACUCCUACGGGAGGCAGCAGUGGGGAAUCUUGGACAAUGGGCGCAAGCCUGAUCCAGCCAUGCCGCGUGAGUGAAGAAGGCCUUAGGGUUGUAAAGCUCUUUUGCCAGGGACGAUAAUGACGGUACCUGGAGAAUAAGCCCCGGCAAACUUCGUGCCAGCCGCCGCAGU
This 449-nucleotide ribosomal RNA is filed under the name uncultured bacterium. RNAcentral's name for it is "bacterial SSU rRNA". It matches the Rfam family "Bacterial small subunit ribosomal RNA", at positions 29 to 521 of the family's 1533-position model. The record is from RNAcentral.